AAAGGACAGAGACGGGCCCCUGGGAGGGAGGGAAGGCAGAGGCGCUGGCUGGCUGGCUUGCAAGGACACUUGUCAGAGGACUGGGUGAAGAAGAGGAAAAGCGGGGCUGAGAAGGGAUGAAGCAACCAGCACAGAAGCCAGCAGGUGGGAUUCCUGCAAAGGGGGAGAAGUGAGGAGAGAAAGCCUGGAGAAGGGGGAAGAGGGCUGUCAUCCCUGAGGACUGGCGGGGCGGCCGGGAGGGCUGCAGGGCAAUGGGAGGAAAGGGGCCAGGAGCAGGGGUUGGGGGGUGUUCUCUUGUCUUCACGUGAUGUCAGGGCUGCUGCCGGAAACUCCCAGGUGAGGCCUCUACCAGGGCCCAGGGCCCUUAGUCCACCUGUCUCCCCAUCAAGCCUACAGGGAGGUCCUGAUUCCCCUUUGAUAACUGAGGAGGCUGAGCCUCGGGGAGGUGGAGUCUGUUGCCCACAGACCAUCAGGACAUGGGUUCCCAAAGCCCAUGUUCCAUCCCCCUCCUGCUGCCGAGCAAGUCCCCUUGUCUGCAUGGCUGAGCCCGAGCCCCCCUGCCCCUUCCAGCCUGUGUUUGCGUCUCUUUGACAUUCUAGGUUGUCCAAGAGCCACCACCAGCCCAGAAACCAGAAAGGGGAAAACUGAACACCUUGUGCGCCUUGGUUCAGCGCUGCAGCCAGAUGCCACUGAUGUGGUAUCAGCCCAGGGACAUGGUAAGCAGGGCAUGGGGAUGCUUCCUGUGGGCCGGGGUCUUGGUUUUGCCCUUGACAGUUGCUCCCUGGGACUGUGGGUCAGAGAACCUGUCAGGGCCUCUGUUGAGAGAAACCUAAGAUGUGGAAAUGUGGGGCCCACGAGCCUGCAGACAAUUCUCUACAUGGCGCCUGUGCAUUUCCCUUUCACAUUAUCACAAGAAUGUUGGGAAGUUUCUGGAGUUUCCCUGGUGGUGCAGUGGGUUAAGGAUCAAGCAUUGCCACAGCUGUGGUGCAGGUCACAGCUGUGGCUCAAAUUCAUUCCCUGGCCUGUGAGCUUCCAUUUGCUGUGGGUACCACAAAAAAAAGGAAAAGAAAAAAAGAAAGUAGGGAAAUUUCUUAUCCAAAGCAAUACCCGGCUCUUCCAAUCUUAUGUAAAAAAAGGGCUGGAGAGGAAGGCAGGACAGCAAAUGCUAUUGGCCUCCCAGACCAUCAUCCUUCCACACUGCCUACCAGACCCUGUGAGACUGUGCUGGCUGCACCACUCAGGUGCCAGGAAUUGUGGAGACAUGGAGAUGUGUGGCCCCCCCCCAACACCGUAUGGCCAAAACUGA
Molecule: long non-coding RNA, 1306 nt
Filed under: Sus scrofa (pig)
Lineage: Eukaryota; Metazoa; Chordata; Mammalia; Artiodactyla; Suidae
Description: lncRNA (ENSSSCG00015052083.1)
Source: RNAcentral